UACAGAGGGGGCAAGCGUUAUUCGGAAUUAUUGGGCGUAAAGGGCGCGUAGGCGGCUUGGCAAGUGGAUGGUGAAAUCCCUCGGCUUAACCGAGGAACUGCCGUCCAAACUGCUUAGCUUGAGACCGGGAGAGGUGAGAGGAAUUCCCAGUGUAGCGGUGAAAUGCGUAGAUAUUGGGAGGAACACCAGUGGCGAAGGCGGCUCACUGGACCGGUACUGACGCUGAGGCGCGAAAGCGUGGGGAGCAAACGGG
This 253-nucleotide ribosomal RNA is filed under the name uncultured bacterium. RNAcentral's name for it is "partial 16S ribosomal RNA". It matches the Rfam family "Bacterial small subunit ribosomal RNA", at positions 524 to 776 of the family's 1533-position model. The record is from RNAcentral.